Schistocerca nitens (vagrant locust) is the source of this 74-nucleotide non-coding RNA. The record is from the annotation of a RefSeq genome assembly. NCBI's taxonomy places the organism in Eukaryota, Metazoa, Arthropoda, Insecta, Orthoptera, Acrididae.
GUCCGGGUGGCGCAGUGGUUAACGCAUCCGCCUGGUAAGCAGGAGAUCCCGGUUUCGAGUCCCGGUCCGGCACA